GCAUAUCAAUAAGCGGAGGAAAAGAAACUAACAAGGAUUCCCCUUAGUAACUGCGAAGUUGAAGCGGGAAAAGCUUCAAAUUUAAAAUCUGGCGGUCCUUGUGGCCGUCCGAGUUGUAAUUUAGAGAAGUGUUAUCCGCGCUGGACCGUGUACAAGUCUCCUGGAAUGGAGCGUCAUAGAGGGUGAGAAUCCCGUCUUUGACACGGACUGCCAGGGCAUUUGUGAUGCGCUCUCGAAGAGUCGAGUUGUUUGGGAAUGCAGCUCAAAAUGGGUGGUAAAUUCCAUCUAAAGCUAAAUAUUGGGGAGAGACCGAUAGCGAACAAGUACCGUGAGGGAAAGAUGAAAAGAACUUUGGAAAGAGAGUUAAACAGUACGUGAAAUUGCUGAAAGGGAAACGCUUGAAGUCAGUCGCGUCGUUCAGGACUCAGCCUUGCUUUGCUUGGUGUACUUCCUGUUCGACGGGUCAGCAUCAAUUUUGGUCGGUGGAUAAAGGCUCGGAGAAUGUGGCAUCUUCGGAUGUGUUAUAGCUCUGGGUCGCAUACAUCGGCUGGGAUUGAGGAACUCAGCACGCCGCAAGGCCGGGGACUUGUCCCACGUACGUGCUUAGGAUGCUGGCAUAAUGGCUUUAAUCGACCCGUCUUGAAACACGGACCAAGGAGUCUAACAUGCCUGCGAGUGUUUGGGUGGAAAACCCGAGCGCGUAAUGAAAGUGAAAGUUGAGAUCCCUGUCGUGGGGAGCAUCGACGCCCGGAGCAGACCUUUUGUGACGCAUCCGCGGUAGAGCAUGUAUGUUGGGACCCGAAAGAUGGUGAACUAUGCCUGAAUAGGGUGAAGCCAGAGGAAACUCUGGUGGAGGCUCGUAGCGAUUCUGACGUGCAAAUCGAUCGUCGAAUUUGGGUAUAGGGGGCGAAAGACUAAUCGAACCAUCUAGUAGCUGGUUCCUGCCGAA
This 949-nucleotide ribosomal RNA is filed under the name Mycena maculata. Its description in RNAcentral is "LSU rRNA". It matches the Rfam family "Eukaryotic large subunit ribosomal RNA", at positions 38 to 965 of the family's 3401-position model. Lineage: Eukaryota; Fungi; Basidiomycota; Agaricomycetes; Agaricales; Mycenaceae. The record is from RNAcentral.